Long non-coding RNA from Hyla sarda, 773 nucleotides. RefSeq lists it as uncharacterized. The record is from RefSeq and is a predicted model, not a curated record. The transcript is spliced from 3 exons. Lineage: Eukaryota; Metazoa; Chordata; Amphibia; Anura; Hylidae.
UCGGUGAUGUGGCACGGAGGUGUCAGGCCUCCGGCAGUGAAGGUCUGUAUCUCCUGUGUCCGGCAGCGUUAUAGGUAGCGCUGGAGUUGUCCUCUCCGCAAGGUCCGCGGCUGGCACGGAUGGCACCGGCCUCGUAGAAGUAAAAUGACACUAGCAGAAUCCUGACAAGGAGGUAGAGAAAUAACGUAUUUCUGGAGCUGGAUAUCAAGGAUUUCAUGGUGGAUUCUGCUGUUUGAACAUUGAGCUCUGACGAAGGAUACAGAGUUUGUUAAAUGCCGUAGAGUAAGCCGGGAAAUGUGCGUGGAGUGGUGAGAUCACCGUUAGUCAUAGACGCUCCAGGAAUUAACUAUAUUUCUAUCGCUAUCUUCAGCUAAUGUCCAAAGCAGAAAAGAGAUUUGGUCAAAACCAUAUUACCAGCUGAUAAGGUUGAAAAAAGACACAGAUCCAUCUAGUCUCAUCUAUAAUCCUACAAUGUGGAUCCACAGGAAGGCAAAAUCUCCUAUGGGGUGGAUGUCAAUAACCUGAUAUUAAGAAGAAAAACUCCUUCCCGACUCUGAAUAUUGCAAUCAGAAAAAAAUCCCUGGACCAAAAUGAAAUCUAGUAAUUGUAACUUGUUAUAUUUACAAAAUAAAACAAACCGUUCUUGAACUUCAGUGACUCAAUCAUCACAACAUUGUGUGGUAGAGAGUAGAGAUGGCCGCCAUUGUUUAUGUACACCGUGGUAUCAGAAUAAUGUUUAAAGUGUAACUAUAGUGUAUUUGUUUAGCGAGAAA